AACGAACGCUGGCGGCAUGCCUAACACAUGCAAGUCGAACGAGACCUUCGGGUCUACUGGCGCAGGGGUGCGUGACGCAUGGGAACCUGCCCUUAUGGGCGGGGUAACUCCCCGGGAAGGUGGCGAUUACCCGGGAAUGGCUUCUGUCCAAAGAUUUAUCGCCGUGGGAUGGGCCCGCGUUGGAUUAGCUAGUUGGUGGGGUAAAAGCCUACCAAGGCGACGAUCCAUAGCUGGUCUGAGAGGAUGAUCAGCCACACUGGGACUGAGACACGGCCCAGACUCCUACGGGAGGCAGCAGUGGGGAAUAUUGGACAAUGGGCGCAAGCCUGAUCCAGCCAUGCCGCGUGAGUGAUGAAGGCCUUAGGGUUGUAAAGCUCUUUUACCCGGGAUGAUAAUGACAGUACCGGGAGAAUAAGCUCCGGCUAACUUCGUG
RNAcentral lists this ribosomal RNA (433 nucleotides) under uncultured bacterium. RNAcentral's name for it is "partial 16S ribosomal RNA". It matches the Rfam family "Bacterial small subunit ribosomal RNA", at positions 29 to 507 of the family's 1533-position model. The record is from RNAcentral.